AGUUCCGGGUGUUGACGUUGUUGGGGCGAGGAAAACGUGGGCACCACCAUUUUGGCAGUAUUCGGCAGACUGGUGCUGUUGUGGUGGAGAAGACAUAGUCGAUAACUGUUGUGCACCAGGUUGCACAAAUAAACGAGGCAAAAAUAAAUGUACGUCGUUCUAUCUCAUACCUAAAGAUGCGGAGAGGCGAGCUAAGUGGAUCAGCGCCAUUAAAAGAGCCAGGAGCAAGCAAAAAAAGACAGAAAAAUGGGACCCCCCGGCUGUUGGAUUCCGCUUGUGCAGCGAUCACUUCAUAUCAGGGAGAAAGAAUGAUAAUCCCUUGAGUCCGACUUUGUUCCAUCUCUUUUCAACUACGUUCCAUCUCCAGAGAAGAGGAAAAGAAAAAUGAGACUGGAGGUUUUCAACAGACGACAGAAAGCAAAGCUACAGAAGAUAGAGCAGACAAAGCUAUCUGCGAAAGCCAUCCCUCCCAGGUGAAUAUUUAAGUUCCUUAACCUGGUCAACCCCACUUCCAUGGACUUGGUAAAAUUAUGAACCAAAUUUUUUUUGUACAAUUCAUUGUUGGUUUAAUAACACCCAAUGAGCUAAAAACCAUAACAUCUGUGACUGGUUUGAAAUCAUCACACACCUCUACCGACUUGCAUUUGGCAGCCACUGACUAUGCAUGUGAUUGUCACUGUCAUUGUCAAUAUCCCUGUCAUUGUCUUUCUAUUCAUUUAUUUUAUUACAUUGUUUAUUUAUCAUAUACUGACUAUAAAGCACUUUUGGAUGUAAAUGUGCUAUACAAAUACAAUUUACUUACUUUCUUACUAAUGAAAGCUAGUAUACUGCAGAAAACAGAGAGUGACCGACAAAAGAAUGACAAACUGUCAUCA
Long non-coding RNA from Gadus macrocephalus (Pacific cod), 875 nucleotides. RefSeq lists it as uncharacterized. The transcript is spliced from 3 exons. The record is from RefSeq and is a predicted model, not a curated record. NCBI's taxonomy places the organism in Eukaryota, Metazoa, Chordata, Actinopteri, Gadiformes, Gadidae.